Molecule: long non-coding RNA, 548 nt
Organism: Hippocampus zosterae (dwarf seahorse)
Lineage: Eukaryota; Metazoa; Chordata; Actinopteri; Syngnathiformes; Syngnathidae
Exons: 3
Source: RefSeq, a predicted model, not a curated record
UUGUCUAAAAUGACGAAACGUCCGCCUUUUUCCGCCUUGUAAAUCAGCGUGAGGCGGAGGACACCUGCUGCGCCGACGGAAUGCCUCAAACACCAACACGGAACAGCACACAUGCCACACACGAUGUGGGCUACAGGGACUGGGCAACACACACACACAGACAGACAGACAGAAAGACCAACGGAUGGAUGACAGACAUGCAGGCCGACAGCAGGACAGCUGAGGGCUCUCAUUGCAGGAAUGGGAGAAAUGACGAUUUGGCUGCGUGUGAGACGAGGCGGGCCUGGGUGGAUCAAUAACGUCAUCAGGCCCCCUCCAUUAAACAUUUCGUGUCACUGAACUGUGUUCAAAUGUCAUGGCUUCGCAAACUGCUGCGGAUCAAUAUGAGAUUUUAAAAGGCAGACGCAUGCCGUAAAUACAGUGGCAUGUUGAUCUACCCGUUUAAUUCCAUGUGCUGCGACACAUGAAACUAUCCAACAGUUUGAGGCCCCCCAAAUACACAAACGCAAUUUUUUAAAAAAUUAUUACAAAAGUGUUUAAAAAUGUUA